This is a long non-coding RNA of Neltuma alba, 398 nucleotides long. RefSeq lists it as uncharacterized. The transcript is spliced from 3 exons. NCBI's taxonomy places the organism in Eukaryota, Viridiplantae, Streptophyta, Magnoliopsida, Fabales, Fabaceae. The record is from RefSeq and is a predicted model, not a curated record.
UCUCUAGUCCGGUUCUGUCACUUACUCUGGACACUCUGCAGUUCCUUUAUCUUGCUGCAACAAGUUCCACAGAUUCCGGAAGGACUGGCAAUUUGUGCACCACUCUCGUCGAGCUCGAUCUUUCCUUGAACUCCCUCUCCGAGCUGGCUUUUUUCGGCGUAUUAGUACUGACAUUUAAUGGAUUCCGAAGUUGAAACUAUUGAGAGAAGAUUUACAUCUUUGUUUGGUCAACUCCAAGCAGAGUACGGCGUACUUGAAAGAAUGGUGUACAAGAACAAGAACCAGCAUAGGCGUUGUUCUUAUUUCAAGUAUCUUUUGAAGGUAGAGAGGGAUUUGCGGCUUCUACGAUCUGUGAACUUGGAGGACCUUGUCAUAUCGUGCCUCCUUGUUAUCAAGGA